Molecule: long non-coding RNA, 518 nt
Filed under: Solanum tuberosum (potato)
Lineage: Eukaryota; Viridiplantae; Streptophyta; Magnoliopsida; Solanales; Solanaceae
Description: long non-coding RNA (STUB_LNC000826)
Source: RNAcentral
CGUGUCCUAAUGUUUAUAUACUACCAUAUUUUAAAUCUAUAUAUCGCCGUGUCCUAAUGUUUAUAUACUACCAUAUUUUAUAGUUAUCUACUAUCAUAUUUUAAUAUUUACGAUAAAAGAUAAUGUGUGCCACCAAGGGCCUUAAAUCCAUACCCAAAUGACAUUUCAACGUCUUUAGAUUAUUAAAAGCUACGGUCAAAAUUAAGUAAUUUUUAAAGUUCCAAUAAUAACUAAAUCAAUAUCUUGUUUAAAGGUUCCAAACUACAGUGACUAGACUAUAAUACACUAGUGACCACAUGACUUUGGACAAUUAUUCAUACAAACAGUAAGGGAACAAUAAGAAUUAUGGAGCAAAUAUAUGUCAGUAAGCGUAAGUAACAGAGAACAAAUUAAAGCAACUAAACUUUAGUAAAUGACAACACAACUACUACUAAAUUAGAUGCCAAAUUUCCUAAAGACAAUAACCAAAUAGGGGGGUUCACUGUCAUAGCCUCACAACAAUAUUCAAAGACAUGCGA